Molecule: long non-coding RNA, 747 nt
Filed under: Oryza sativa Indica Group (long-grained rice)
Lineage: Eukaryota; Viridiplantae; Streptophyta; Magnoliopsida; Poales; Poaceae
Also listed under: 1 other name
Description: lncRNA OsZS97_02G016940
Source: RNAcentral
AGCACCGAGCGCAUCGCCAUCCGUGGCCGAGCAGCCAAGCGGCGACGGCGCCGACCGGAGGCGCGAAAGGGCUUGGCGCUCGCUGGCGCACCACCCUCCUCUCCCCCCUCCCCUCCCCCCGAAAAAACGGCGAGCGCCGGCGCACGGAAGUGGCGGAGGGCUCGGUGGCGGACGAGUCGCGGCGGCAGAGGACGGUGGCGGAGGAGCCCGGGGGCGGACGAAUCGCGUCGGUCGAUCUGGGACGGCGCCGGGCGGCGGGGCGUUGCGGCGGCGGAGGGCUCGACGGUGGAGGAGCUCGGGGGCGGACGAGUCGCGGCGGCGGAGGGCUCGACGGCAGAGGACUCGGUGGCGGAGGAGCUCGACGGCGGAGGAGCUCGGGGGCGGACGAGUCGCGGCGGUCGAUCUGGGACGGCGCCGGGCGGCGGGGCAGUCAAGCGGCGGCCCGAGCUCCUCCGCUCGAGCUGGGACGGCGCCGGGCGGCGGGGGACGACGCGCGGGAGCUCAACGGCGGAUCUGGCCUUCUCUUCCUCAGGCGCCAACAGCGAGGUGCCGCCGCCACCGCCGCCAUCUUCCUUCUCGCUGCAGCCUCCUCUUCAUCCGGCACCGCCAUCUUCCUCUCAUCGGCGACCGAGAGGAGAACGCUGGCGGCGCGUGAAGCCACGGAGCGACGAGGCGACGACCUCCACAACGCCGCGGCCCGCCUUUCUCCCCGUGCCGCACACCUCGAUUGAAGUGAAGCCCGUGUGA